Artibeus jamaicensis (Jamaican fruit-eating bat) is the source of this 206-nucleotide long non-coding RNA. RefSeq lists it as uncharacterized. The record is from RefSeq and is a predicted model, not a curated record. Lineage: Eukaryota; Metazoa; Chordata; Mammalia; Chiroptera; Phyllostomidae. The transcript is spliced from 3 exons.
UGGAAUAUUGCUGUGCCAAAGCAUCUCUGGGUAUUGAAUGGGAUGAGAAAAUAAUAGAAAGAGGAAGGAAGAAGGAGAAACAUCAAUGUGAGAGGGAAACAUCAAUUGGUUGCCUCCCAUCUGCACCAGAUCAGGGAUUGAACCCACGACCUAGAAACCUUGAGUUUGGAGAAUAAAUGUUGCAGAUGUGACACCCCAUAAUCCAG